AAGUCGUAACAAGGUUUCCGUAGGUGAACCUGCGGAAGGAUCAUUAUUGAAAAUUAGGAUGCUCUCUUUAGAGGUCCGACCCUUUCAUUCCACACACCGUGAACUACGCUGUUUUACACACACUUUAAAUUCGUGAUGUAUAAGAAUGUAUACCGUCUCUUAAUUGAGCUUAAAAAGUUAUUACAACUUUCGGCAACGGAUCUCUUGGCUCUC
RNAcentral lists this unclassified non-coding RNA (213 nucleotides) under air metagenome. Its description in RNAcentral is "partial contains small subunit ribosomal RNA, internal transcribed spacer 1, and 5.8S ribosomal RNA". The stretch from base 1 to 46 matches the Rfam family "Eukaryotic small subunit ribosomal RNA", at positions 1786 to 1831 of the family's 1831-position model. The record is from RNAcentral.